This 238-nucleotide long non-coding RNA is filed under the name Capsicum annuum. RNAcentral's name for it is "long non-coding RNA (CANN_LNC014451)". Lineage: Eukaryota; Viridiplantae; Streptophyta; Magnoliopsida; Solanales; Solanaceae. The record is from RNAcentral.
UGAGGGAUGACAAUAUGAAAAUAUUUACUGAAUAUGUAAGGCUAAAUGUAACAACACAUGAUAUAAGAGCCUAAUAAAAAUCAGAUACCAGUGAAUAAAUAGUGCUUGUAGACCACCUUCAUAUAUUUGUAGGAUCAGGUACAUUACAUUCCUUUCUUCAUUUUACCUUUCUUACUUCAUAAUCUUUGUAAGUCAUAUAAUACAAAGGACCAGCUGAUCAAAGGUAAAUAUAUAAAUU